This 254-nucleotide ribosomal RNA is filed under the name uncultured bacterium. RNAcentral describes it as "partial 16S ribosomal RNA". It matches the Rfam family "Bacterial small subunit ribosomal RNA", at positions 524 to 776 of the family's 1533-position model. The record is from RNAcentral.
UACGGGGGGGGCAAGCGUUGUUCGGAAUUACUGGGCGUAAAGGGCUCGUAGGCGGCCAACUAAGUCAGACGUGAAAUCCCUCGGCUUAACCGGGGAACUGCGUCUGAUACUGGAUGGCUUGAGUUUGGGAGAGGGAUGCGGAAUUCCAGGUGUAGCGGUGAAAUGCGUAGAUAUCUGGAGGGACACCGGUGGCGAAGGCGGCAUCCUGGACCAACACUGACGCUGAGUGAGCGAAAGCCAGGGGAGCAAACGGG